Molecule: long non-coding RNA, 2592 nt
Filed under: Ananas comosus (pineapple)
Lineage: Eukaryota; Viridiplantae; Streptophyta; Magnoliopsida; Poales; Bromeliaceae
Description: long non-coding RNA (ACOM_LNC026473)
Source: RNAcentral
CUCCAUAAAGAAUAAUCGUUGCUCAUAUGUUGUGUUAAAUAAAAUAUUUAAAUUAAAUGCCGUUCUCGGUGGCUUAAGCUUUUGAAGGAUAACAGCUAAAGUAGAAUUGUUGCUCAUAUGUUGUGUUGAAUAUAUUUAAACACUGUUUUCGGUGGCUUAAGCUUUUGGAGGAUAACGGUUGUGUUAUCUUUGUAGUGGAGUAGAAGAUCCUGCCUUCGAGUUCCACCAGACUCAUAGUCUAAUUUAAUUUCCUGCCAUUUACUUUUUAGUUUGCGUCUUGGGCAUAUCACAAUGUCCCGAGCUCAAAUGUGAGUGAGGGUGUCGAAUAUAUAAUAUGAAAGCAACGUUCUUUGGUAGUUUAAGUUUUUGGAUAAUAAUAGUUUGUUUUACUUGCUUAUCAGAGGAGGUGAUCCUGCGUUCUAGUUCCACCAGGCUAUUAAGUCUAAUUUAAUUUCCUCUCAUCUUAUUUUAUUUAAAGUUCAUUCCUUGUGCCUAUCAAAAUGCCUCGAGCCUGGAUGUAAGGGGGAGUGUUAAAUAUAUGAUAUCAAAAUACCGUACUCUGGUAGCUUAAGGGUUCGGAGAAUAAUAGUUCUUUACCUUCGUAUCAGAGCAGGAGGUUCUGCUAUCGAGUUCCACUAGACUCCUACGUCUAACCAUUUUAUUUGAGUCCGUGUAUUGGGCAUAUAUAAUAUCAAAUCAUCGUUCUUUGGUAGUUUAAGCUAUUGGAGAAUAUAGUUAUGUUACCUUUGUAUCAGAGGAGGAGGUUCUAUGUCUACUCUAAUUUAAUUUCCUCUUAUUUAAUUUAAGUCCACAUCUUGGGCCUAUCAAAAUGUUUUGAGUCCGGACGUGAGGGGGAGUGUUGAAUAUAUAAUAUUAAAAUACCAUUCUCUGAUAGCUUAAGUUUUAGGAAAAUAAUGGUUGUUUCACAUUUGUUAACAUGUUGUCUACUUAUGAUUAUUUUUUGUUAUGACUUUAGCAUUAUGAAAGUUCCUUCUUUAGGGUUUUUCUUUAUGGCAGCUUAAGCUUUACUGUGAUCGGUAAACUCUUUUGAUCUACACAAUCAGGCAAAGAAGUGAAAUUGUGGAUUUGUUCCUUAAUUGUUUGAAUAAUUAACAAUACCCCUUUGAAUUUUUGGAACUUGAAAAUUUACACCUCGCACUCACUUAUAUUUGGCUUUUUAAUGUUAAAAUGAUUCUGCUGCUCCUAGAAAAUAUCUUGUAAAUAUUGUUGAUGCCACUUCUCAUUACUAAUUUCCGUGCUCUCUCUCUCUCUCUCUCUCUCUCUCUCUCUCUCUCUCUCUCACCCCCUCAUGUCAUUCUAUUUGGAAGUUGGAUAAGGUUGAGAAUUAAAACCUUUGGGGGACAAAUCCGCUAUUUCUGUACUUUGUAGGGUAUAGACGCAUUAUUGCAUUUGGCCAUUGGCUAUUCCGAAACUGAUUUAACUUAUACCUGAUGAAUAUCUUGUUUGUCCAUAAAUAGUUUUAAGGGUAAAUUGCAUUGUUACCCCCUGAACUUUUGGCGAAGUUUUACUUUAUCCCUCGAACUUCUAAAAUGGACAUCUAACCCCCUAAACUCUAAUAUUUCGUUCAUGUUACUCCUUCCAUCAGUUUUCCGUCAAGUUUCGUUAAAGGAAACUGACGGAAGGGGUAAAAUGAAUGAAAUAUUAGAGUUUAGGGUGUUAGAUGUCUAUUUUAGGAGUCCGGGGGGUUAAGUGAAACUCGCCAAAAGUUCAAGGGGUAACAAUGCAAUUUACCCAAAUUUUUACUAUAAAUUAUUUUUAUAUUAAAAAUUUCUAAUUGGCUGAAAUGAAGUACAAAAAUUUUAUUUAAGUGUAUUUUAUAGAACAAUGGUUCUAAAGAUAAAAGGGACAAACGAGUACUACAGAAAAUUAACUGAGAAUUAAAAUCUCUAUAUCCGAGUGAGGACACUUAUUGUAAAUCAACCAUAUUAGCGAGUAUACCAGGAUAGUAGAGUGUUCGAGCAUCAUAGGUAGUUAGUAUCGCUCUUUUUUUAUCUUUAAGCCACUCUAAUUCAUUUCUUUCACUUUUAUUUUAUUACAAUAAAAUGUAGGAUAAAUUAUGGUAUGAUUUAUUUUAGGAUAAAAAAUAUAUAUAAAUUCAAAAUCAAGAAUGAUCACUAACUUGAGGAUUAGUAGUCAAUCCAUAAGUAACAUAUUAUAAUAAAAUAAUUUAUAGUCAAGAGUCCCCUACGGAGUAAAUUGCACUACUACCUCCUGAAUUUUUGGCGAGUUUCACUUAACCCCCCAAACUUCUAAAAUAGACAUCUAACACCCUAAACUCUAAUAUUUCAUUUGUUUUACCCCUUUCGUCAGUUUCCGGUUAACGGAGCUUGAAGGAAAACUGACGGAAGGAGUAACAUGAACGAAAUAUUAGAGUUUAGGGGGUUAGAUGUCGAUUUUAGGAGUUCGAGGGGUAAAGUGAAACUUCGCCAAAAGUUCAGGGGGGAACAAUGCAAUUUACCCAUAGUUUUAACAACAUUUGCAAACUUAAUCUAGCUGCAAUAUUUGUACAUUAUAUUGGAAUGUCAAAAUAUUAUUUAAUGAGAGGAAAAUUCGCAUGGGCCUCUGCAGGAC